GAUGAACGCUAGCUACAGGCUUAACACAUGCAAGUCGAGGGGUAACAAGAGGAAAGCUUGCUUUUCUUGUUGACGACCGGCGCACGGGUGAGUAACGCGUAUCCAACCUGCCUAUAACUAGGGAAUAACCUCGCGAAAGUAAGACUAAUACCCUAUGAUUUCCUUUGAUGACAUCAGAUUAGGAAUAAAGAUUUAUCGGUUAUAGAUGGGGAUGCGUCUGAUUAGCUUGUUGGCGGGGUAACGGCCCACCAAGGCAACGAUCAGUAGGGGUUCUGAGAGAAAGGUCCCCAACAUUGGAACUGAGACACGGUCCAAACUCCGACGGGAGGAAGCAGUGAGGAAUAUUGGUCAAUGGGCGGAAGCCUGAACCAGCCAAGUAGCGUUCAGGAUGACGGCCCUAUGGGUUGUAAACUGCUUUUAUACAGGAAUAAAGUUAGCCACGUGUGGUUAUUUGUAGGUACUGUAUGAAUAAGGACCGGCUAAUUCCGUGCCAGCAGCCGCGGUAA
Molecule: ribosomal RNA, 506 nt
Filed under: uncultured bacterium
Lineage: Bacteria
Description: partial 16S ribosomal RNA
Rfam family: Bacterial small subunit ribosomal RNA
Source: RNAcentral